AUGAACCCGUGUUGCCUCCUCGUUGAACCCGUGUUUCCGCCGUGUUUACCCCAACGUUCGUUAAUCUUCUUCCUUUGUUUACCCCAAGGUUCGUCAAUCUUCUUCCUUCACUUCCGCCGAACAAACAUUAUUAUGUGUAUUUCUUUCGAUUCAGGCCUCCUUCUUUUCUGGUUGAAUUCGGUGUUUUUCUUCUACUUGUCUCAUUCGCGAGUUUCAUCGGCGCGUGUUGUCGCGUGAGAUGGCUUCUCUGGAUUUACCUUUUUCGUUAUGUUCAUUCUCAUCCUUCUUCUCUUCGUCUUCACCAUCUCUGCGUUCACCGUCACCAACAAAGCCGCCGGAAAAGUUCUCUCAAACAAAGGAUAUAAAGAGUACAGACUCGGUGAUUACUCCAACUGGCUACAGAAUCGCGUCAGGAACAACAAAGAUUGGAACAGAAUAAAAAACUGUCGACGACAAGGUGUGUGUCGAAUUCAACUAGAAAAUCGCUUCUGAAACCAUUGCGCAAUUCUACCAAGAACACUUAUCUUCAAUUCAGUUUGGGUGUUGCAAACCGGCAGAUGAGUGUAAUUUCACGUACAAGGCACCGACUCAGUGGGAAAAACCGGCGAAUGUUUCAAGUUUUUCGAAUCCGGAUUGUGGUUUGUGGGAUAAUAGACCUGAAAAGUUGUGCUUUGAUUGAGAAUCCUGCAAAGGUGGAGUGUUGGAUAAUUUGAAAAGGAACCGGAAGGUACUGGUUUAGCAGAGAAGGCGAUGGUGGUUCUGAGUAGCCUGGCUAGGAUUCAAGAGGGAAAGAAUGCGAUUGUGGAAGAGGGUGGAAUUGUUGCGCUUGUAGAAGCAAUUGAAGAUGGGUCGGUGAAAGGGAAAGAAUUUGCAAUGUUGACACUCUUGCAAUUGUGUGUUGAGAGGUGAGAAAUUGAGGGUUGCUCGUGAGUGAAGGUGGAAUUCCCCAUUUAGUUGCACUUUCUCAGACCGGAAGCGUUCAAGCAAAGCAUAAGGUGAUUACCAGAAACUGAUUAGUCGUUAAUUAUUACACGAUUUGGUUAGCUGAUUCUAUGAAAUGAACACCUUGAUGAAAAAUUGUUAAUUUUUGCAGGCAGAAACACUUCUAGGUAUAUAAGAUAACCAAGACAAGUUGCAUCAUCAUCAAGUCCUUAACAAUUGGUCUGAUAUGGUUUUUUUAGGAGGUAAUUGUAUUAUUAAGUAGUGGUAUCGUGUAUAGGAAGUGGUUUUUUUGAUGGUUUGUACAACAUGGUUGAGAAUGUUGGAAGAAUGAAGUUUAUAGAAUGAAGUUAGUGCAGUUAGUAAAGCCAAAAAGCUGACGGUUAGAGAAAAAGUUGUAUGAUUUUUAACUAGGUUAUGAGAUAUCCUUUUUAAUGACAUUCCAAUUUACUAAAUAGUGUAAUAUCACUUGGUUUGAUUUUCUGGGUUUGGGGAUUUGAUGAAAUUCUGAUUGGUGGUUGUGUGUCUUGAACUUAAAUUCUGUGGAACUCAUCACCUUUCUUGUAGCUCUAUGUGAAGUACAUUGAAGUUCUGUAAUUUACAUAAUUUAUUUUUCA
Cucumis melo (muskmelon) is the source of this 1556-nucleotide long non-coding RNA. RefSeq lists it as uncharacterized. NCBI's taxonomy places the organism in Eukaryota, Viridiplantae, Streptophyta, Magnoliopsida, Cucurbitales, Cucurbitaceae. The transcript is spliced from 2 exons. The record is from RefSeq and is a predicted model, not a curated record.